This 24305-nucleotide long non-coding RNA is filed under the name Setaria viridis. RNAcentral describes it as "long non-coding RNA (SVIR_LNC008604)". Lineage: Eukaryota; Viridiplantae; Streptophyta; Magnoliopsida; Poales; Poaceae. The record is from RNAcentral.
UUUUUUUUUCUCGUGGGGCUGCAGGGCAAAAUUACAGCAGGAACCAAAUGAGCUGUACAUGAAUAAGGCACUAAUAAUAAUUGAGCAAAGAUGAGGCAUGCGAAACCAAUGAGGAGGCCACGGAAAAAACAAGUUGUACAUGAAGGCACUGGUAAUUGGGCAAAGUUGAUGUAUACUGUACUAUUCAGCAAGGAACCGCAAACUACUUGGGGGAAGAAAAACAAGCAAGCAAACAAAAAAAAACCCUCUCCACAAAACCCUGUUCUGUUCAGGGGGGCCAGGAUGAAUGCCCUUCGCACAUAGAUGGCUGACGGCUACAUACAUGAUACAUUGCAUAAUCGGAGAGUAUAAGGAGCGAAAUCCCACCCCGAAUCAUGAGCGCACGCACAGGGAGCAACAAUCAUCAGUAACAAAGGCCGGCGGGGGCAUGAUCGAUCGAUGGAUCGAUACCCGCUACAGUAAGAGAAGAGCAGCCCACCCAAAUUGUGGGGUUUUGCGGUCGGUGGAGCAAAAGCAAGGAUGUGGGGGGGAAUGCGGUUUGGGGUAGUGGUACCCUACCUUGAAAUCGCUCUGCUUUUGCUGUGGUUGCUUGCUCCAAGCAGGGAAGAGGAGGAGGAACGGGGGGGCGAUCGCCAACUGCACUGCACUGAAAUCCUCCUGCUGGAGCGAGCGGACUGCUCCGACGAAGGGCUUGGAGGAGUGGACUGCUCCGCCUCCGGCCUCCGCUUGCGUUGUCGUGGUGAUUGGUGAACAAGGGAACGAGGAUUCCAAGCAAGCAAGGGCGAUGGGAGAGGGGUCAAAGUAAAAAGUCUGGCUGGCAGGGUCGGGUGGGUAGAAAAGCGAUGCCGCUUUUACUGCUGUGUGUGAUGCGUGUCUCAGUAUCCAUGUCAGGAGAGAAACAACAAGGCCUGGCCCACCCGAUAGCCUCACAGGCUCCUGCAAAGGAAGCGGUUUCCGUUGUGGGACCCGCAGGCCCGCUGCUACGGCCCAUGGGCUAAGCCCUGCUUCAGUUUUCUCCUCCUCUUCUUUCAUUACCAGCUUCUUUCUUUCUUUCUCUGUUGGGUUUGAGAACUGAAUGAACUGAACGCUCAAAUCCCAGGGAUCAACCAUAAUUAACAAACCAUAACACAGUCUGUCUGAUUAGUCCAGCCCCAUUGAGGAUCAUGCACAAACUGAGACUGCAUUGUAUACUUGUUUCCACGAUUAGCAUACGAGAAUCAACACUGACGUAUCAUCCGACCCUGCAUUUACAUCCACAUGGCAGCAAUGUGAUGCUGCCUUCAAAAUUCCAAACCACUAUGCAUAUGUCCAUCACAACUCUCAGCAAAUCAAAAUAAACACAAGAACCAUAAGCUCAACUGCUCAAGGCAUGGCAUGCACACGUCAUGUGAUGUUUUGCUUCAAAGUUGAGCACUGUCCUGUUUCUCCACACCUCUCUCCACAUUCUCCAUUGCCUGCUGCACUGUUGACACAAUGACAAGGGAAAAUGACGGCAGCAAAAUAGAAAAACAAAAGUACAGUAUAACACUCAUCUCCCUAACUCAGUUAUUGUAAAGCCAAUGCUCCAGUGUGCACAUAAUUUUAGCUAGGCCAGUUCCAGUGUGCACUUCCAAAGGCUAUACCUUUUUGACACAUGCGGCUAUAAUGUCCAUUAGAAAGACUUUCCUAUGAGCCGGUCAUCAUACGACCAGAGUAAGCUUUUUAGGAUAGGAUCCUCUGCCGAGGCUACCCUCUUACUCACUGGUCCAACCUUAAUUUGUUGCUAGACUCACUUUAGUUAUUUUUUUAUGUUGUUUUUAAAAGUACUCUCACUCUUCCCCGUAGAAUUUGUGUAUCAUGAUAUGAAUUAGUGUACAUGGGGCUCAUGACAUCAAGGAGGGCUUAAAAUCAUUAGAAUGAGUUAAACAAGGAAAUAAAAGAAAUAUGCGAAAUUCAUAAGGUAAACAAGUUAUUAUCUUGGUUUAUUUUAUUAAUAAGCUUGGGAUCAAAAUAUGAUGAUGAUUUGUGGGACUUGCCUUCCUCGUAGUCGGGGUCUUUUAAAGCUUCAUCUUCGUAAUCUGGGUCGUCAAACACGUUUCUGGAGUUGUCGUUUUCUACAUAAUUGUAGUAUACGUAAGGAAAUUAAUCAAGCAAACAAUCAUAGCAGUACAUCAAACAUAAGUUAAAAGGGCAAAGUUGGGGUUUAUAAGGCUUGGGUAAUUUUCUAGGAUUAAUUUGGGAUGGUUUUUCCUAUUUUGGCCAUAUAAAAUAUGGACCUUUUUAUUAUAGAAAAAGGGAUGGAGAUUUAUUUUAGGAGCUAUAGGGUUGAGAUUUGGGUAAAGAUGGUAUGUCUAGGCUUGAAAUGGGUUCUAAUCUUUUUGGUGAAUUUUUGAAGGAAAGAAAUAGGAAAGUGGAAUUUUGGUGUACGCUAGUGGAGCUUUUUUCAAUUGGCUGGAAAGGGUUGAAUUUAAUUUCUAACAUUAAUAAUGUGCAAAAGGGAUUUGGAUGAAUUUGUUGGGUUUGUGGAUUUGUCUAGUAUUUGUGGAUAACAGUGUCUGUGCUUACUACUAAGAUGGAGGUGUCUGUGCUUACUACUAAGAUGGAGAAGAAAUCAAGCAUAGGAUGGGAAUGAGAUUGGUACCUUGGCGGGUCUCGAGCCUCAGCCGCUGUCUUCAGUUGGGACAAGAGCGUGUCCACAAAAGUGCUUCCAAUACUCGCGCCGCUAUCGGUCUAGACAUCUUUGAUGUGGUUGCGGUAGUAGGACUCUGCUCCUCCAGCAUUACCUUGCCCCCUCCUUUUGAAGUAGGAGUGGCCCCUGAGUAGGAUGACAAGCUCAGGGUGAGCCCUGCUGAUGUCGCCUCGAUGUCAACCGCAGCAUUUACAGCUUCUCCGUUGUGAACCAUCACGGCCAGAAUCUCAAGCACGCAAUCCCACUCCUGUUGACGCAAACAGUCCUGCAAGUCAUCAGCUCCAAAAUUUACAGGGUAGAAGAACAAGGAGGUGAAUGGAGAGAUUGUUUUUGAAAGAUGAGAUGCAUCACACAUAUUUACACAAUGGUUGUUUCUCCAGCAUCAAUCCAUGCAUAAUGUUGCAUAAUCAGAUUGCAGUGUGGAUUAUGUGACCAUGAUAAAUUUUAGAGCAGGGUGAUGGCGAUGGAUUUUGUCACUUUGUACAAUUCUGAUCCAGCAGUAGCAAGGCAACAACGAGCUGUAUAAUGCAGUAGCAAAUUUGUCACUACAUCUAGAUAGGAGGGAAUUGCAUGCGUUGGAUUACGAUCCAGCAGAGUCAAAGUGAAAUUCAAGCAUAAAACAAGUUUGGAUCCACCUCUCCAUGCAACAGCAGAGUUAUUAAUUGUUUAUCCAUCAAUCCAUAAUGCUAUACAUUCAAAUUGCAAAUGGCUUGCAUGGAUUUUAGCACAAGGUCACUCAACAGGGUGUAACUAUCUGUCUAAUUUUGGUCACUUGAUGCACGAAUUGAAUUUGUGAUGGAUUUCAUCAUCACUUGAUCUACGAAAUUCAGAUCCAGCAGCAAGCAUAUUGAAUGCAUAUACGUACAUACAACACAGAGAUUGAAUUGGUAGCUGGCUGGUACAUCUAAGCUAGCACCAACCCGGCCAUGAAGCAGUAAGGAGGGCAGUGCGUGCAAUGCAAUCGAUGCUACGCAAGCAGUGCAACGGAGGAACGCAAUUCCACGCAGCUUGCAUGGCACCGCAUGCACGAAGAGAAAUAUGCAAUCACCUGCCGCUGCCUUCGUCGUCGUCAGCCAUCCAGGGGGCCUGCGCUCGGUAGCCCCUGCUGCAAAUCCCGUCAGGUGGCGAUCAUCCUCUCCGUCCGGCCAACUGCUACGCCAACAACAAUAUUAAUGCAGAUGAGUCAAACAAUAUAUAUAAUCCGCCACAUGAUCGAAGAAGCACGUACGACAUCUGAGAGGGGGAGGGGGAGAGAGAAGAGCUAGAGAGAGGAGAGAGAUUGAUCAUCUCGAGACGCACGCCGGACGGACGCGAUCGAUCAGCAGGAGAGUCGAGGACGACGAGCGGCGGCGGUGCCGUGCGUGGUUUGAUUUAAUUGUUCGUAACUCUUUUAAAACCGUUUAUACCGUUAUGUUCCUUAUGUACAAAAUAAGACCAGGAUUGAGUAUAUUUAGAAAUUAUUUUACGUAACUGUCAACUUAUGGUGUAUAUAUACUACCAACUUAUAUAUCAAGUAUGUAGCAGACUAUUUGACAACUUAUAUGGAGACAAUUUAACAAAUUAUGCAGAGAUCAUGUAUCAACUUAUUUAUAGAUUAUGUAGCAACUUAUAUUGCAUGUCUAAUGUCGUUGAUCAAAGUUAUACAGAGACAAAUGUAACAACUUAGAUAAAGGUUGUGUACACCACUUUCGCGUAGCUAAAAUAACAAUUCAUGUAAAGAUAAUGUAGCAACUUAUGUAGAUACUUCAUGUAGGUAAUGGCAUUGGAUUCAAAAUUAUUCACGUAGAAACUUACAUGUAAAGUUUGUUUGGAGGUUUGAAUAUAAGUUGCUACAACUUGAUACAGACCAUAAUAUAAGUUGACAUUCCGUAAAAUUAAUCCAAAACAUAUGUAUCAUGGAUCUUGUCUUAUAGAUUUCAUCGUAACUAACAGGACGGUGCAAUCAGAUUUGAAAACGGUCACUCCAUAAGAAAAUUAUGACAUUUCAAAACUUCAAGCACAAUUAGCAUAUUUAUUCAUCCUCAUGUCCACAGGCCACGCGGGAUCAUGAGCGCUUGCGCAAGCACAUGGGCCAGGCAGAUAAAGCCUCAGUCGCCACAGGCCGCGGGCCGUGAGGGUCGCGCCCUACGACGUGAGCGCGACCCCACACGAGGAGGCUUUUUUCUUCCAAGAAAAUUAGAAUGACUUCCAAUUUGAAAUGAUUUCUUCCAAUAUAUAUGAAUUAAACCGGUAAUGUUUCUUGAUGAAUUUAAUGCCUGUAGAGGUACACAGCUAGGCUGUGGUGAUAACAAAUGAUAUGGAUUGGUACAUGAAUAUUCCAAAAUAGUUAAUCAGCACCAGGUAAGCAGAUGAUGGAUGACCAAAACUUGAAUCUGCAAGUGUUAAUAAUGCUCUGAGUGCCCUCCCCCUCCCCUUCAGCAGAGUGGGAGGUCCGGUGGAGGUGCCUCGAGAGACUGCAGCUCCCCAACGCCGUCCUCCACGAGGAACGCCAUGGCGAGUCCCCAGGUGAUGUGCACGUCCAGAUGGCAGUGCAUCAGCCACACCCCCGGGUUGUCCGCCACGAACCGGAUCACGGCCCACCCGUUCACCGGCACGCCCACCGUGUUCCUCAUCGGCGGGUCGUCCAGGUUGAACUUGGCGGUGUCGGUGGCGGCGUCAAAGUUGCCGAAUCCCUCGGCCAGGAUGUAGAAGUCGUAGCCGUGGAUGUGGAUGGGGUGGUUCUCGCCGGCGAAGAUGUUGGUGCCCUGGAGCACCAGCUGCACGGCGGCGCCGUACUUGAGCCUGUACACCUUGGUGCCGGGCGCCGGCUGCCACAGCGCGCGGCUCACGUUCUGCGCCGUGUAGUCGAACUGCACCGGCGGGUUCGCCGGGAAGUCGGCGGUGAACACGCCCUGCUGCGCUCCGCCGUAGUGCGCCUGCAGGAUGGACACGGUGGACGGCAGCACGAAGGAGACGUUGUUCAUGCUCGCCGCGAACCGCGUGUUGUUGGGCCCGCCGCAGGUCUGCCCCCUGGAGCAGUUGAACAGCCCGACGCCCACAGUGAAGAAGAGGUUCUCGUCCACGCGCGACGGGAGCUCCGCCUUGCGCAGGCCGCGCAGGUUCGUCGUGAACGUCGUCGCCGUCGCCGUGUCGUUGUACGCCGGGAGCGUCGGCAUGGCGGGGCUCCUGCUGCCGCUGGAGGAGGAGGAGGAGUAGUCGAAGAUGGCGGUGGUGGUGGUGUUGUCGAAGGGGACACCCUGGGCGCUGGCGUAGGCGCGGGCGGCGAGGUAGUACCGGCCGGGCGGCUGGUCGAAGGUGACGAGGACGUCUGUGGUCUGGCCGGGGGCGAUCAUGAGCACCGACGUGGAGUAGGGCUUGGUGUAGGAGGCGUCGGCGCCCACGACGGUCAUGGUGUGGCCGGCGAGGGAGACGAAGAGCUCCGUGUUGAGUGCGGCGUUGAUGAAGCGCAGCAGGUUCGUCUCGCCGGACUUCACCGGGAACGUGGUCGUGUCCUUGGACGAGCACCUGUAGAGGUCGCCGGGCUGGCCGUUGACGGUGAGGGCGUCGGAGAUGUUGGGCGCCGCGCCGGUGCGGGUGGCCGUGCGGACCACGUCGAUGGGGUUCAUGUCCCACCAUUCCCCUGCACGCACGGUCCCAUGAGCCAUGGCAUUAUUGGUAAAUCCGUUGAAACACAGUUUUAAUCACCACUAAGAAAAAAACGUUUGUACAUGUUCGGUUUCUUAUGUCAAAUCCGUUGAAUUCUUUGUCAAAGAUGACCGUGCAUUACUUCUACGGAAUUUUGCUAAACUAAUUUUAGUAAGGAUUUAUGUAGCUUCAUUACCUUUUUCAAACAUUGUGGCAAUCCUGAUUUUGAUUGACAAUAGAUGAUGAAUAAAGUUUUAGAAUGUGCUUAGUUUUUCCUUCUUCUGAAGGAAGACUAGUCUCAUCAAAACCCAAGGUUAUAGAAGGGGUACAUGCAUGCAUGUUAGGCCUAUUGUGGAAUGUGGGCCAUAAUAACAGCCAGCCCAAAGAAAAGUAAGCAGCCUAAUGAUGCAAUUUUGAUUAUGCAGCUUGAAAAGUAGUAGAUGGUAAGCAAAAUAAAGACCUAUGCAGAUGAAUUUAGUCUACAAAGCCCUUUUGGAAGGAAGGGAAAUUAUUUCAGUUUCAGGCAACUGAAGCUGCUCUUGUUCCAAAUGAGCUGAGACAACUCUGAAACAAGUUGUUUGCCUUUCGGAACGCUUCAGAGGCAAGUAUAACCUUUUUAUUUUUUUGCAUUGGCAGCUGAUGAACUUAUUGUUGAUGAACGAAGAAAUGUACUAACAUUAGCAUAGGCAAGGUGCCUUAUUCGUCCUUACAGUAUGCGUCGAUCUAGUGACCCACUAGGGGACAUAUUUUUUGGUAUGAGAGUUGUUGGACCCCACAAGUCAGUGGCACGGCUCAUGAGUGCAACUAAAGAAGGAUCUCGCAUGAGAUACGUACUCCAUGAGAAUCUUUUUGGACGCCCGUCAAUCACGAUUUUUUUUCCCUUUUCGUAGGAAGUCUCGAUGAUGUUUACUACUUUGUGACAGAUCCAACGUAACAUGAUGACGAUGCAUGUUUGACUCUGAUGCACCUAGCUAAUUAAGCUAGUAAUCAAGCAGCAAGCUGUUAUCAUCAACCAACAAAGUAACAGAAUGAUAACACUGACUAACAUGCGGGAAAAGAGAAAAAGGAAAUGCUAAUCAUCUCUAUUCUCUUCUAUAUUCUCUCUGGCCCACACCACAAGCUUGCAAUUGGACUGAGCUUAGGUUAGUUGGUGGGAGAUGCCAGAUGCGGGUGUUGCACACUUUUCGGUAGCUAGGUCGAAGCCUGAUUAUUUUAUUUUUUUCAACUCGAAUUUCAGUGCAUACUCCUUGCCAAUAUUAAAGCUACGAUAUUUAAGACAAGCUAAUUAGUAAAAAAAUGAACCAACUAGUUUAUCAUAAACAUCGUAUAUUUAAGAACGUAGAUAGUACUAGCUGUGUCGAUCGAAGUUUUUACUUGUUAAUUUGGGGAAGAAAUGAGAGUGAGGGUACAUUUUGUGCAAGAGUUUUGACCUGUGUAUGCAAUUAUUGGACAUGAGCAUACAUACACAGCAACUAGUGAAAUGCAGUAAAAAUUCAGUAGCGGCACAGCACCAAUGACGGCCAUCAUGUCCAGCAUACCAAUGGCGGUCUAAUAGGAUGAUCAAGUAUGGUAAAGAAGAGUGAUCCAUACACCUAGCUUGAGAUUGAGUGGCAUGAUCCAUCCAGGCCAGUGUGUAUGUAUAAUAUAAUUGAAAACGACGUACUCGUACGUACCUAGCAGGAUGGGGAUCUCCCUCGCGGGGGGCUCGCCGGCGGCGUCGAAGGGGUAUGCGGUGACGCCGGCGCGGGGGCGGAUGAUGAGGGCGCCGUGGACGGUGGCGCGGAGCCACGAGCUGUGGGCGUGCCACCACAGCGUGCCUUCCUGCCCGGCGACGGUGAAGCGGUAGGUGUAGCUCUGCCCCGGCCGGAUGGGGCACUGCGUCACGUACUCGGGGCCGUCGGACCAUCCCGUCCGCAUCUGCCGCACGCCGUGCCAGUGCACCGUCACGUUGUACCUCCCACGGUUGAUGACCCGGACGAUGAGGGAGUCUCCCUCGUCGAUCUCCAACGCCGGCCCCGGGAACUGCCCGUUCACCGUCAUGAUGCUGUGCUCCCGGCACAGCCGCGUCACCGACGCCUCCUGGAUCUGCACCGUCAUGUGUCAUACAGAGUACAGGCAUGCGUGGCAAUUGGCUAGGUAGGCAUGCAACUGGAACUACUCUCUUCGUUCCAAAUUGCAGGUUGUUUUAGUUCUUUUAGAUUCAUAGAUAUUAUUAUGCAUCUAAACAUGCACUAUAUCUAGAUGCAUAAUAAUAUCUAUGAACCUAAAAAAACUAAAAUGACCUACAAUUUGAAACGGAGAGAGUAACCAUAUAGUAAUUAACAUGAUGAUCGACUAUAUUAACUCAGAGAGAUCGAUUACCACAAACUCAUGGUACUGCUCCUUGGCGAUGGCCGGCUGUAUCGUCAGGGAGGACCAGAGGAGGAGAGGGAGGGUGAUCAAGAGCAGCGAGGAGGAGCAGAACGGCAUGCUACUUGAGCUUGACAUGCCGCCGGAUGCUCGCAUUUCUUCAGCUUGAGCCUUCCAAUUGCUUAUGCAAGCGACCAAGGCUCUCUCUCUCUUUAUAUAGCUAGGAGCAGGUGGAGGAGGUGCAGAGCUGAUCAGCAGAGAUGAGGGGCAAAAGAUCCUGGCUAGCAGCUACAAAGUCAUAGACAGCGGUGGUUUUCUGGUUGGCAUUAUUAGGUCCUCAAGCGAUCCUGUUGUUGGCGAACAAAUGCAUGCCUGGCCUCUUCUUUUGACACUCACAUUUGCUUUCUCUUUCUGACCUUCAUCUCGUUUCAUGCAUGAUCCGUUAUUCAACGUGCAUGCCACUGACACUAACAAGCACACUCCAGUUGCUACAACCACUGCUGCAUUCUAUGUGUGUUUCCAUUUCAACCUCAGAAACACUUUUCCUAGUGAUGGUAACUUGGCUAACUAGCAUCCUUUUUGGUCAGCUAAUAACUACCUAGUAAUGUCAAGAAUCUCUACUCUAUUUUUGCCUGCUAAUGUAAUUGUCUGAUCAUGCCUCCAUCUCCAUCACGAGUCUAGUACAUUUUCCUCUGCAUAUGAAGAUGGAGCUUCGUCCCUCAAAGGCCAGCUGAAGCAUCAUAAUAACAGAACUUUCCAAACAGUAACGAAUGCGUGUGGCCUUGUAUUAUUUGCAAGCUCUUUUCCGGAAAGGAAACAGAGGACAUACAUACUCUACCAUCUACUGUUGCAUACUUGCAUCAUACACAAACUUUUGGCAAGAUGACUCCUGUGAUCAUGCUUCCAUCACGACUUUACUUCUCCUCUCCUCUGGACAUCCUCAAGGACAGGCUGAAACAUCAUAAAAAAUAUAAGAAUAAGAUAGAGCCUAGCUGCAGUCUGCAGGAUCAAUGAGUAUGGCAUUGGUCGGUAGGUCUUAUCCUGAACAAGGAAACUACAAAGGUACUCUUCAAUCAUCUAAUGUUGCAUCAUAUCAUGGAUUGGCUUCAAUGUCCACGCUGUGUGCAUAUCCGUAUUAUUACUUCUUUGUGUACAUGGAUGAGAACCUGUCAUCGUUGAUGGAACUUGAUCACCUAUAUACUAGAUAGCUGAAUCAGAUCCAGAACCAACACGCAUCAACUUCACCAUUUGGAAUUUCAUUCCACAUCAAAUCGAACGUGAUAGGCUAAGUACUUGAAUGUUUAAAAAUGAAACAGAGAAAGCAACCUCAUGUUCAUUUCUCAAUCAGGCAGAGCUCCAAAAGCCAAAUGUUUAGGCAUACUCUACAAGCAGACCCAUGGUUAGCAGUAUGUUUUCAACAUUUCAAUUCAUCAGAAAAAUAGAUAUAUAUCCUAACCAAGGAUCAUAGAGCUGUCUGCAACUUGCAUUUUAGCAUUACCAUUUUGCAUCACAUGCUUAUCAUCACAAACUAUGCCGAGCAUGUUUCCAUUAGGAUAAUCAUUAUGCAUGAAUUAAGGAAUCAUAGCCGGUGGGGACACUAGUCCUGCAAAUGUUUCCACUUGCAACAAAGGUUGCUUAGCUUUUGUUUCAUUUUGCUAGAACCAAACACUUAGUUCCUGCAUCAGCCUUUUUUCGCAUCCAAAUUCCCAUGAAAACAAUGAGGUGAGGUCACUAACAACUUUCUUUUAUCCUUUUGACUAACAAAUCUCUGUGUAUCCAUUCUUCCCGAGCAUCACUAACUGAAUCUUUACUUUGACAAGGGUUGUUAAUCUCGCACUGCCAAAUUUCACAUGGAAGUAUAACUACACUGUUUGACCAUAAUGACAUUUCUAUUCUAUGUUGCAAGGAUCAAAAGUGCAUCACUACAUCUAGAUUGUCUCCUUUUUGUUGCUUGCACCACUGACCCAAGUAACCAAGAUGUGACGUAUAAUAAGCUGACCUCGUUAUGUACUGAGAUAAAGUAAAAAAAAUUGCUUCAUUGAUUAUGCCUGUACUAAUGUAUUUUAACCAUAGAGGAAUUUUCAGUACGAAUUUUUGACUUUUGGGUAAUCAGAACAAAACUUAGUUUAAACAGUUAAACAGUGCUAAAAGCUCUAUUGCUCUUCUGUAAUAUGAAAACAAAUUAUUGUUCAAAUAGUAUAUUUUUGCCAGACUUUGACACUGUAGGGUUCUCAAAUACUUGUUCCAUCAAAUGAUUCAUGUGCAUGAGCCUGUGGUUGGCAGAAGUACAACAAGAAGCGUGCUGUGUGCUAACCACCACAUACUGUUCAUGGAUUCAGUAGGCAGCAAGUACCCCAUCUGUUCUAGCUUCAGACGGUUUCUUGCAAUUCAAGGCAGUCUAAAGUCAAAUGGAAAGAACAGCAAGAAUCUUGAGGAGGAAGGAAGAAAUGCAAUUUGUCAUAAAAGGAAGAGAUUUGCUUGGUGGCAAAGAGCUCAAAGAAAUAUUUUAAUCCAAGGCUGGGAUAUAGCUCGCUGCUAAUUUGGAGGCAUCUAACAACUCUUGUGCUCCACUACUUGUCCUUCAAAAACUGAAAAGAUGUUUCACAUGCUGGUGUGCAAGCGUAUCAGGCCCCAUUGUUUCCUUCAACUUCCAUCUAUAAGUAAAAAAAGAAAAAGAAAAAGAAAAGUAGAACUGAUUUCAUGGCAUGGGAUGGUGCUUCUUAGAUAAAGCUCAAGAACUACGAUACGAUUUCUCAUAUUUUGAGGCCAUGUUUAGUUACCCCCAACUUCCAACUUUGACACUAUGCAAAAAGAAGAUUCCCCAUCACAUCAAACUUGCGGUACAUGCAUGGAGUACUAAAUGUAGACGAAAUUAAAAACUAAUUGCACAGUUUUAUUGUACUUUGCGAGACGAAUCUUUUGAGCCUAAUUAGUCAAUAUUUGGACAAUAAUUCACAAAUACAAACGAAACGCUACAGUGUGCUACAGUGCUAGCACAGUAAUUUUGCAUCUUCCAAAUUGGCCAACUAAACAAGGCAGUUUUAGUACUGCUGGAAUGACCAAGCUUAAAUCUGGACUUUGUUGGCGAUGGAAUGAAGAUUUGACUUGUGAGACAAAUCUCCAAGAAACAAAGAAUAUGCCCACAGUCCCAGUGAAAUAAUGCUAGUGAUUAGUUGAAACACCUGAAGCUUAUUAUAAUGAGUCACAUGUUUAGCAAUAAGUAGAAAGCCAAAGAGUUGUGCAGUUUUUGCAACCAACAAGCAAAAGGUAACCUUUCUGAACCUUUUAAAUUGGAAAUAAUUGAAGCAAAAGAAUCCUUAAAUAGCAUCUGUACAGCAAUAAUUUGUACGGCAUUGAAAGUUUGAUGCAAUGAUAUUGCCCCAUUUCUUUGAACCUGUGAUCGACUGGCAAGUCUUGAUGACAUCUUUUGUGCGGUCUAUUGCAUUGGAAUGCCAGAAUUGGUCCACAGCAUUGCAUAUCUCCAUGUGGUUUCGAAUGACCAAAGCCUUUGUGCGUUUUAAGCUUGUGCUUUGUGAACAAUUCUUAUGUGCUUUGUGAUCAGCCAGCUUAAUAGCAGUUGGUGGAAAUUUGAGUAGCUGCUGCUGCUAACAUGAAGAUACUAAACAACAUGAAGAAAUAACAGUUUAGGGUUAGGGAGAGAUGAUCAGCCAGCUUAAUAGCUAGCAGGGGAGCACAAAGUAGCAAGCAAUAUUCGUGCAUUAUUUCAUUUGCUCAUAUCUCAUUGGUGAGAACAAAAGUCGUUUUAUAGGUCGUUCGUUUUCUCUUCUUCAGGGAACAACCAAGCAACUACUUCUGAACCUCACAUUGCAAGACAAAGAAUGUAGGUAAGAUGGUCGGCGCAGGUGAUUGAUUGUAGUGUACAAAUGGCACGAGUCGACCUAGUUUGUUGAUAGCACGAAAUUGGUCACGCUGAUAGCCUUGAGACUGAAAGCCAUUCAUCGGCAGUAACAGAUUAAGGACAUGUUUGGUUCUAGAAGCUAAACUUUAGCCCUAUCACAUCGGAUGUUUGAUACUAAUUAGAGUAUUAAAUAUAGGCUAAUUAUAAAACUAAUUGCAUAGAUGGAGGCUAAUUCGCGAGACGAAUCUAUUAAGCCUAAUUAGUCCAUGAUUUGAUAAUGUGGUACUACAGUAACCAUUUGCUAAUGAUGGAUUAAUUAGACUUAAUAGAUUCGUCUCGUGAAUUACCCAGGGUUUCUGCAAUUAGUUUUAUAAUAAGCUCAUAUUUAGUCCUCCUAAUUAGUAUCCGAAUAUUCGAUAUGACAAGGGCAAACUUUAGCUCCUAGUAUCCAAACAGCCUCUAAGCUCAAAUCUGAAUAUCUCACCAAACAGAAACAGCCUGCAGUGAUAGAUAGAUAGAUUCGGUUGGGUGGAUAAGUUGUUUAAGUUGACCGGUGUACUUAGAAUCCACAGCUUAGGGCAGCCACGACGAAGAGGAAAGACCUGUAUGAUCCAGCUCACCAUUGUACAAGAGGAAAGACCUAUAUGAUCCAGCUCACCAUUGUACAAGUAGUUCAUAUAGCAAUCCACCUUAUAGUUAGGUAAGCGCACCUGCAACACUUAUAGAAAGUAAACUUUAUAUAACUUCUUCAUGUCAUCUAUAGACAAUGUUUAUAGAGUAGUCAUCCAACAAACUUAGGUGGUGUUUGGAUACGAGGUGCUAAACUUUAACAGUGUCACAUUGGAUGUUUGGAUGCUAAUUAGGAGGGCUAAACAUGAGCUAAUUAUAAAACUAAUUGCAGAACCCUGUGCUAAUUCGCGAGACGAAUCUAGUAAGCCUAAUUAAUCCAUCAUUAGCAAAUGGUUACUGUAGCACCACAUUGUCAAAUCAUGGACUAAUUAAGUUUAAUAGAUUCGUCUCGCGAAUUAUACUCCAUCUAUAUGUGACAGGUGUUCCCAAACAAACACCCCCUUACUUACUGUAACAUUUGUCCCUCAAUUUAGUGGACCCCACGUGUCAGAAGUUUUUUAUUUCCUCCUCUCACUCUCUCCCCCUCUUCCUCGUCUCCCUCGUGCCGGCGAACAGGCGGCGGCGCCUCUCCUCCUGGCCGGCGGACUGGCGGCGGCGUCCCUCCUCCGCCCGCGGUGGCUCGGCCGACCGGCGGCGCAGCUCCUCCGCCUCCGCGGCGCCCCAUGGCCGCGGCCCCUCCGUCUCCUCCGCUGCAGGUUCGCAGGCCGUGGCCUUGCCUCCGACGUCCGCGAGCUCCUCCGCGCGCCGGUGUGGCCAAGCUCGGGCGGAUGCGCCGGCAGAGCCCCACGUGCGAGCCGCACGACCCCUGCCUCGCUCGCACCUGCGCCCUGCCGAGACCGAGCUAGCGUUCGAUUGGAGGGAGGGGAGAGGUGAGGGGACCGAGCGACGCCCCGGAGCAGUGGCUGCCGAUGGCCGCGCCCCUUCUCGCGCCCGGUGGCCGUGGUUCUCCCCCCGCUGGAGCCGGCGCACCUCCUCCCCGCGAUGGAGCUCCGGCGGCAAAACAUGCGCGCGGAUCGUGUUUAGUCGAGGAUUCGACCACGUGAUGCUGCUACAGUAAUGCUAAUCGUGAAUUAAUUAAGUUUAAUAGGUUCGUAUCUCUCGAUUAACCUUCGUCCGUACAAUUGAUUUUAUAAUUUCCUCCUAAUCACGUCUAAAUAUUUGAUAGGAUAGGAUUAAAUUUUAAUCCGUGGAACAACCACUCCUAAGCCCACCGAUAAAAUAAUAUAAUCUCUCCUCUUCCGGGCUGGAUAAAUUUUUUAUAGCCCAUCCAAUCAGUUGUUCCUCAGUGACCGUUAGAUUCUGAGAGGAGUUGUUGGUGUUGGCCCGUUGGAUCUUUAUCUGAUUGAACCAAAAAUUGUUGAAUAGUCUUGUCGUUUUGUUGGCAAGCAUGUCCUGUAGUUAGCAGGUGUUCGGCUGGACUUCAAAUAAACCGCCGCCGGCUUUUUUUUUUACUGUUUGAACAGUAAAAACAGAGAGAAGUAAAAAAAAAAACUAGCUGAACAGCGGCUACGGCUUAUUUUGGCUCAUUCGAAUAGGCAUCAGUUUGAACUCUGUACUACUGAAAUCUGCUGGAACACAUCCACUGUUGGACAGCAUGAACAAAGGCAGUAUGACAAAUUCAGUAACUGUUCAUCAUCAUGAUCGCUAAUUCACCACCAUCCUCAUGAUGGACAAGGUAAUCAAAUAAAUAAAAUAUGCAUUAUUAUAGCAGUAGUAUUUCUCCUCUUUCCCAUCCUUGCUCCUAGGCUGCUACAUACAGCCGCUGAUUCUAGUGCGAGUGCAAAUAAUAUUUGCCUAUACAAACUGAAAAUUACCUAGUAAACGCAAAAACUAAGGGGUGAUCCGAUAUUCCGAUCCCCCAGUGGUAGAAGUAGAAGUAAUACUUCAGGAUUAAACGAAUCAAAGAAUCUCUUUUCUAGCUAAUAAACCAUUGCUUUUCUUCUCGCGAUUCUUGGCUGUUGCCGCGCGCUCGUGCUGCUGCUGCUACUCAUCGUCUCCUGCAGAAGCCACUGGCACAUGCGCGCCGGCACCUUCCUCGCUCGGCCCGGCGCCGCCAUCCGAUCCCGGCCUGAUCUGCUCGAGCUGCCGCAGCACCUCCCGGGCCUCGGGCCUUACCGACGGCGCCGGGUCCACGCAGUGCAGUGCCAGCUUCAGCGUGUCCAUCAGCUCGUCGCCGACGGGCCCCGUGGCGGCGUCGCGCAUCAGCUCCAGGUCGAAUACCUCGCUGGUCCAUUCCUCCUUCACGAUGGACGCCACCCACUGCGGCAGGUCCAUGCCGUUGGUGCUCUCCGCGGGGUUCUUGCCUGUCAGCAGCUCCAGGACGAUCACGCCCAGGCUGUACACGUCCGUCUUCGCGUUCGCCUUCUUCAGCUUCGACAGCUCCGGCGCGCGGUACCCCAGGGCGCCCGCCGCCGCCAGCACGUUCGAGUUCGCCGCGGUCGUCAUGAGACGGGACAGCCCGAAGUCGGAGAUCUUGGGGUUGCAUUGCUCAUCGAGGACGACGUUGCUGGCGGUCAGGUUGCCGUGCACGAUGUUCAUGUCGUCGUGGAGGUAGGCCAGGCCACGGGCUGUGCCCUUGGCGAUUGUCAUCCGUGUCGCCCAGUCCACCGUCGUAUUCGGUGCGCGAGCUGCAUCAAUGCCAUUCAUCAUCAGGAAACAUCAAGUGUUAGUACACAAAGUUCACUGUUUCAGCUUCAGAAGGUGUCAAAAGUUCACAAGCACACUAAGAAAUGGAAGGAAUAUCUAGCUGUGAACAAAUUUAUCAAGAGUUUCAUAAAAGGAAAUUGCUCGUUUUCACUGAAUGUAACACGACACAGUUCGUUCUUAACAGUUAGCAUUUCUGCACUGGCCAUGAACAGAGAAACUAUGAACUUUGAUGUAAGAUUUUUCAGAUGUCAAGGGUAUGAACUGACAUCAGUCCUACAGCAAACGCACUGCAAUUCAAACUUUACCAAUUCUCACUGGCAGGUCUACCUGCUAACAUAACAGACAGCUAUAUCAAUUUUGGCAAUGUCUGAAUUUGUAGAUGUUCAGAGAGUUCAGACUAGGCAUUUUGCUGAAACAGAGCAAUUAGCAUACAUAAUAAGCUGGUAUGAAAGAAUUUAACUACAUACAUGCAGACUAAACAGAAUGCCAGAAUCCAGCAAAUGAUGAUAUAUAAUUGCUUAACAUUAGCUGAAAUAAUUAGCUAAACCAUGAGCUAUGGUGAUUCAGUCAGAAAUUAGUAAUGCUGAAGAGAACAAGAGAGAGCAGAGCAGGGAUAAGAAGCCUGACCGUGCAAGAAUGUUGAGAGGUUGCCCUUGGGCAUGUAAUCGAAGACGAGCAGCUUCUCCCCCUUGGGCCCCAGGUAGUAGGCCCUGAGCGCCAGCAGGUUGGGAUGGCGGAUCCUGCCGAGCAAGGCCGCCUCGGCCUCGAACUCCUUGUGGCCCUUGGUGAUCUUCUCCCUGAGGCGCUUGACGGCAACCAGGCUGCCGUCCUCCAGCGUGGCCUUGUACACCGUGCCGUAGGUGCUCUUCCCCAAGAUCUCCGCCGUGGCGCACAGCAGGUCGUCCGCCGUGAACGCCAGCGGCCCGUCGAAGUGCACGAGCUUGCCGCCCACGUCGCCGCCGGACUCGACCUCCGCCGCGCCCGACCCUGGCUUCUCGCUGCGCCCGGCCGCCGCGGCAUCCUUGGGCGCCUGCUUCCCGCUCCUUGCUGCACUUGUGCUGGUGGAAGACGACCUCUUCCUUGUGAGGAAGCACAGCAGGAGGCAGCAGAGGAGCAGCAGGAUGAGGACGCCGACGACGAUCCCGGCGAUGAUGAGUACGAGCUCCUUGGUGCUGAACUUGCGGCGGCCGCGCGCCUCCUCGGCGGUUGAAGAUGGCGCCGGGGACGGGGACGCCGGGCAGGGCGUGGAAGCAGAGUAUCCGCAGAGCAGGAUGUUCCCGAUGAAGGCGGGCUCCCCGAACUUGUUGGCGAGGGACGCCGGCACCGCGCCGGAGAGGUUGUUGUAGGAGACGUUGAAUGACUGGAGCGUGGCGGUGAGGUUGUCGAGGCUCGGCGGGAUGUCGCCGCUGAGGUCGUUGCCGGAGAGGUCGAGCGCCUUGAGGUCGGCGAGGGAGCCGAGCUCGGCGGGGAUGGUGCCGUUGAGGUUGUUGUUCCCGGCGAGGUCGAGCUGCUGCAGCUUGGUGAGCUUCGUGAGGGAAUCGGGAAUGGGCCCGUCGAGGGAGUUGUGCGCGAGGCUGAGGAAGACGAGCUGGUAGCUCCCGGUGAUGGAGUCCUUGUUGAGGAGGAGCUUAGAAGGCGACUUGGUGGAGCCGGCGAAGGCGUCGGGUAUGGGGCCGGAGAGGUUGUUGUAGGAGAGGUCGAGGAAGAGGAGCGAGGCGGAGGCGACGACCUCGGCGGGGAUCUGAUCGGAGAGCGCGUUGCGGCUGAGGUUGAGGCGGAUGAGCUUGGUGGAGUUGGCGAUGGCGGGCGGGACGGCGCCGGUGAGGCGGUUGUUGCUGGCGUCGAAGGACUGGAGCGCGACGCAUCCUCCGAUGGACGCGGGGACGGCGCCGGAGAAGCGGUUGUUGAAGAGGUAGACGCCGCGGAGGUCGGGGAGGAAUCCAAGCGAGGCCGGGAUGGGGCCCGCGAUGGCGUUGUCGUGGAGGCUGAGCCUUCGGAGGCGGGUGAGCUGGCCGAGGCCGCGCUGGGAGAGGGUGCCCCCGAGCCCCCGCCAUGGGAGCGUGAUGGCGACGACGCUGCCGAGGACGCACUUGAUGCCGGCCCAGGCGCCGGAGCAGGCGGUGAGGCCGGAGUCGUUCCAGGAGCGGAGGAUGCCGUAGGGGUCGGCGAGGUCGUGGCGGAUGGCCUGCAGGCCCUGGUAGUCGGCCUGGGAGAUGACGACGCCGUCGCCCGCGGGGUGGUGGCGGUGGUGGCCUUGAGCGGCGGCGGGCGGUGGAGUGAGCAGGAGGAGGAGCGCGGCGCAGCAGCAGCGGAGGAGGAAGGGGAGGCGCGUCGGCCUCCGCCGCGGCGGCAGCAUUGUGGCUGUUGAUUUGGAUUGAGAUCAAAACUGCAAGUGUUGGUUUGUUUGAUGAGUGAGAGGAGGAGGAGGAAGAAGAGCAGUAGAGAUUGCUGCCUCGCCUCCCCUGCUGUGGGUGUGUUGAUGAACGGUGGCGCAACGGCUAGUAGCAAGCAGAGUCAGAAAAGCAACAAGCCUGCACCUGCACGGUCUGAGGAAGCAGUCACGAGGGAGGAGUGGGCCAGGCGGUUUAAUUAUUUUUUUUUGUAACGGCUAGUCCAUGUCCAUCCAUCCGACCCAGGACCAACCAGCAGGCCAGUCCAGUAACGCAAUCCUCCCGGCGGCCUCUUGGACUGGCCCGGUAGGGGGGAGGUUGGUUGUUGUUUUUGCUUGGGUGGCGAAUAUCUCGGUCCGCAGGCCCACCUCCCUCUUUAAUCGCCUUUUCUUUCUCGUCGACCAAUACUCUCAUCGCCAGCAGCCGGAAGACGAAGAAGAUGGUGGCGGAAGCGGAACGAGACGACGACGAGAGGCCGGGUUGAGCAAUGGGUCGGCUGGCUCGUUUCUGAAGCCCACAACGUACGUCUUUCUUGGGCUGGCUCGACCGAUUUCAGUCAGGGGUCAGGCCCUAAUUAAUAGCCCAACACCUCUCAAGGAAAAAUAAAAAUUAAUAGCCCAACAAAAACAGAAGUAGCGGAAGCGAGUCCAAUGCGGACGGACCGACCGGCAAGCUUUUUAGGGAUAGAAGAAGAAGAUGGCGCCGUCAGUAGGAGAAGAAGAUGGCGCCGAAACGGAAGCUCGAAGACGCUGCUGCUACAGAUGAUCCGCCGCCUUCCUCGUCAGCCAUUGUCGUCAGAGCUCAGAAGAAGAAGAUGGCGGCGGAGGUGGAACGGCAACACGCAGACGCUGCUGCUGCUGCAGAUGAUGAGAGGCAGUCAUCCUCCUCCUUCCACCGCCACAAAGAGGACGUGCUGAUGCUGAGCGCCUCAGAUCAGAUCCUACACAAGAACCUCGACCACUACGGCCUUCUGCGGCAGCCGGGAAACCUGUACUGGAGCACCCAGCAGGGAUGGAUGCUCAUCAUGGAGUACCUACAAGAACAACCCUACACCUCAUCCGCGGCAGCCUACCUUCCUGCGGAACCCUCACACGGGAGACAGGCAAGCUUCCAAUGUUCCAGUACUUUGAUGUCCCUAGAAUGAACCACCCCCACGGGACAAGCUCGAUCUUUCUCAUAUACAUGAGCUCAAUGCAUACAAGAUGGAUUUCUCAGCACAGUCGUCGUCUUGGCGCAGGGUCAAUGACAUUGGAGACGCUGUGAUUUUCUUGGAAGAUGGUUAUUCAAACAUGGCAGCCUCCUACGCAGCAAACAAAUCGGAUAUACUUCAUCAACAGAUGACGCAACGAUGAUACUGGUUGCUUGUGCACUUUUGACUUGGGAUUAAACAUCCUGGAGAAUGUCUGGUUCCCCCAGAACAACUUGUUUCGCUGCUUCAUACCUUUUUGGAUUGUGCCACCUAGCAACUAGCAGCUAUCCUAUGCAUGUGUGCCUGAUCAAUACAGAUCGAUUUCCUAAGUUAUGUGUAGCGAGGGGUUAGUUUUAAGCUAAUAAUAAGUAUGGUGAUGCAUGGAUUGCGAUUGUUUUAUGGAAUAUAAGCCAUGCGUGGAAUACAGCAAGCCUACUAUGCAUGGGUUUUCUUUUCCUUGUCAGAGAUCGUACAACGAGAUGCAGACAAUGGGCCUGUUCGCUUCAGCUUAUUCAGUCGGCUUAUCAGCCACCAAACAGUGUUUUCCUCUCACAACAAAUCAGCCGUUUCAGCUUUUCAGCCGGCUUAUAAGCUGAAGCGAACAGGCCCAAUCAUCUCAGAAUACUCAAGUCCUACAUUACUUACUUGAUGGUCUCACCAUCUCUGUGCAGGUUUACCUUCAACUGAAAAUAUGAUUCUCCCUCCCUGGUAGUAAUACAGCUAGGCUAUAUGAAUCCGACAAGGGCAGGCGAAAAGGGCUGUCAAUGAGAGCAUCGCAUUUGUGAAGAUGAGCAAUACUGUAGUAUAUGGCAUACAAGUUCAUGUUAUGUGUUUGGUCGAUUCAUUCCAAUGGGAUGAUCUGAUGAGUUUGGAAUGCGGCAGCUGCUUCAUCUACAUGUGCAACGCAAAAACAAAUGACACAGCAUCUUCUGAAUAUGGCCAUAUAUAUAUCAUCAAGUCACUAGCAUACAAAUUGAGACAUCAAAUUGACUUUGCCAUACACCAAAAUUCAAAACAAAAACUAGGUUCCCGAUUCUUGUUUGUGUAUGUAUAUUCUUUAGUAUCCAUAAUACUCUGAUUUAGUAUAGUGUACCAUAGCAACAAUAAUCAUCUCAUAGAUAGACAGUACAACGUAUGGAGGAUGAAUGUUUCCUCAGCGGCUAGCAAAAGAAGAUGAAUGAAUCACACGCAAUUAGAGGCUAAGGCACAUGACCUUUAACGGUGGGGGCGAUCAGAUCAGACGCGUCCUCCUCCUACUCCUCCUGUGGCGUUGGCGAUGAAGGACAGCAGCGGGUUGCCGCUGCCGGCGGCCUGGUCGGGCUCGUCGAGGAAGAGGUCCUCCGGGACGCGGAACGCGCCGUGCGCGCAGACGACGGCGGCGCCGAGGGCGAGCGCGGAGAAGAUGAGCGAGCCGACGGAGGUGAGGAAGACGACGAAGGCCGAGGAUGCGAUGAGGCCCCCGAGCACCUCCUUAUCGGAGAAGGUGCGCCCGAACGCGGCGAGAGGCGGCGCGUCGGCGGGGCGGAGGAUGUAGAGGAGGCACCAGGCGGCGAGCAGGGCGAGGAGGGCGGCGAGCGAGAAGGGGUGGGCGAGGAGGGCGGCGGCGAGGGAGAGCGCGACGACGGCGGCGUAGUUGACGCGGAAGUAGGCGAGAUUCUUGCGGAGGCGGGAGGUGGCGUCGGAGAGGGAGUCCGGGCGGGAGAGCGCGGAGCGGUCGGCGAGCUCGGACCAGGGGCGGGCGCCGGAGAGCGCGCGCCUGGCGGAGUCGAGGAGGCGGGAGAGGAAGGCGCGCGCCGCGGCCGGGUUGGCGUCGGCGGCGACGUCGGCGGAGGAGACGGCGGUGGGGAUGGGGGUGGGGGUUGGUGUUGCCGCCGGGGCGACGGAGGUGGGGAGGAGCGGAGGGGAGGGCGCGGCCAUGGUGCGUGGCCGGGUUUGGCGGAUCUGGGCGAGGGAGGCUGAGGGACGAGGACGCACGCGGAGAGGGAGAGAUGGAAGCCGAACAACCAACACAAAAGAAGGGAGCGAGGCCACCGACCGCACCGACACACGCAACAAAGAAAUGGACUAGUCAACGCGUCGCCACGGUGCACGUCAAAAAUUGCCGGCCAAGGAUCGUGCAAAUUCUAUGUCAGUUAUAUUUGUGAGUUUGCAUGGUUUUCAAAAUGCACACAGUUUGACUUGAAACUGUGAACGGUUUCUUUAGAAAAAGAAAAUGCCGUAUCGUAAGGAUUUAUUUGGAUAGUAGUGGAUUUAAGUAAAAUAGGAGGGAUCGAAGAGGAAAUUAGUUCAUUUUAGAUUCAAUUCUUUUUGUUCCACUUCAAUACUUUCCUAUCCAAACAAGCCUAAGAGGCUGCUAACACAAGCAGCAAAGUGUUGCCGCAACUAAUAACAAUUGUUUGGUAGAGACGCAAUGUGACGUGAUGUACUAGAAGAAAUUCAACAAUAACAAAGAAACAAAAGGGUUGGGCAGCAGAGGAGCUAUCCAUUUCAGGUUAGGCAGCAAAACACAGGUAGGUCAAGCAUCACUGCCUACAACUGCGACGCAUCUUCUUCCAUAUCAAUCAAGCACCAUGUACUUGGUUCUGGAAGAAACUGGCAACACACCAGCGAAGUUCUCCCACCAUCCAUACUUGAGGUGCGAACCUCCCUCCCCUCCCAUUAUUCAUUUAUCCCUUGAUUUUUCCUUUUUCUUUUAAUCCAACUGUAUACCGUACUAAGCAAGCAAAUCACAACAGCAAAGAGUACCCUUUGCAAGUUCACUUACCAGCCAUCAUCCCCUAUCAAACAGAACAAGAUAGACACAAUCAUUUCAAGCUUACCAUACCAAACACAAAGGACCAACCAAGAUAACCAAGUUUGUGCAAGCCAACACAGCACAGCACGAAUAUGCUAUGUUGCAUUGAACAAGUCUGUGCCCCAGUCCCACAUGACAGUUUUCACUUCAGUUCAGCACAAAUUAACUAAUAUCUUACAACAGUGUCCUUAUUAGGCCAUUAUGCAAUGGACAAGACAUUAGGGAACACGAUUUUCCUUCACUGGAGCCACACCCAUGGACCUCAAAUCUAGAAGGUGGAGCCAUUCCAACCAAAGUCUGAGCCCUGCAUCAUCACAUGAUACUCACAAUCAGCAUGAUGCUAAGAUAUCAUCGGAUAAUAAAGAAACUAACACCAUCUACAUAAGCAAGCAGAAAGGGAACAUAUGCAAAACCAGGAAGAUGGCAUGAAACAACAGAUGAUUAUUUACAUGAUCUAUUCUUGAUGCAAAGCAUGCAAACAUUGAGCAUGUUCUUGUGCAGGAUGAGCCUAACAAACAACAAAAUUGAAAUGAGAACUUGGUGAUGGUUAAAAGGACCCAUGAAUCGUAUGUCGAGUCAACAAGAAAUAGUGCCUGCUUGCCUUUGAAUCAUGGAACUUGAGGUAAAAGCGGGACUUGGGAAUGGACAGCUUUGAUUCCAGAAUAGAAGCAACACCAGCACUCAGCUUCUUGUUGACACCAGGGUUCAGCCCUCCAAUGGAAACCAGCUCACCAUAAGCUGCAGGCUCCUGGGUGCCUCCAAAUGCCAUAGGCACUGAACCUUUGAGAACAACCAUCACGUACUGGGAGAGGACAAGCACUCCAGUCAAAUCCUCAAGAUGAUAGUACACAAGCGAAAUGGCUUUGGUUAAAUAUUUCAACCACAGAAAAACAAUAAAAAUCUAAAUUUUCAUCAAUUUAAGUAUAUCACCACAGGUCACCCACCAGAAAUCCAAAGAGUGACAGUAUGAGAAUGAUAAAGGAAAAGCACGCGCCCAAACUAUGUAGCAAAGCAGCUGCCUGACUAACACUAAUAUGAAGUGACCAAUAAACAGGAACUUUCAAACUUCAUCUAUAUCAACUGUUGGCUGCAGUAUUUUAGGGAUAACAUACAGGAAAAGCAGCCCAUGAUCUCCAAGUUUGCACUUGAUAUUGCUGAAGAAUAGUAAAGUAGGGGUUGCUGGUUGCUAGAAAUCUAGUCCAGAAAAAAAAAGUGAGCAGAGACUUUUGUCAGUUAGUUUGUUGUAAAUACAUCUGUUCUCACUUCUCUGCGGCUUGAUAUCAUGUUUCUAUUCAGUAGUCAGAUUGGCAAGAUAGUGAAAUUGAUAGACGAAUGGCUUGAUAUUUCUUUCACUGAGUGACCACAAUGGUUAUUAUAUCAAUCCUAGAUAGGCACUGGGGAUACCGUCUCAGAGACAGACUAUUGAGUUAUCUGGUUCCCUUCGUCAAUGCUGAAUCUGUCAAAAUUACAGGUUCAAAUCAUAUAUGAACUCGAUUCUGGGAGACUGCAAUCAUGUUCUGGGAUUUUUUGGUUGUGUCAUGUAAAUAUCAUCAAAAUUUUCGAGUGAGUGCAGUGAGAAUCAACAUCGGGGUGUCCAUGAUAAACCUAGAGAAUACUCCCCCAAAAUGAAUAAAAGCCUAGAGGUCAAAUUCCCCAAUUGUAGUAUUUAUCAAAGGGGAAUGUUGCGAGAUUUUACUGAUUCACAUGAAUUCUCUUUAAACUACCAUCGGAAAACACGAUUAAUCGAUUGAUAGCCAACAGAAAGGUGACAUGCAGUGAUGCACAUCCUGCUCAAAAUCCUAACAGGUUGCAGGAGCCAAUUACAAAAUGGAAGCAUAAUCUCCACCAACCAAAUAGAUGCAAGAGGAGAGACGUCCUACACAGGCAAUGAAUCGCGUGGGGGGAGAAAGAAGAUGGGGGGAAAGGGAAAGGGAAAGGGAAAGGGAGAGGCGAGGCUUACGGCCUCUGGCUUGCCGAUGGUGUCGGCGACGACCUUGGAGGCUUCGGCGAGGAUGGCGGAGGUGUCCACACCCUCCAGGUUGACGUUCGUCGACACGUUCAGGCACGGCAUCCUCAGACCCUCGCUUCGUCUUCCUCUUCCUUCUCCUGCCUGGGUGCUCCUCUGGCCACAGCCGCCUUCUCCGCCUCUGCUCUGC